RNAcentral lists this unclassified non-coding RNA (251 nucleotides) under plant metagenome. Its description in RNAcentral is "partial contains small subunit ribosomal RNA, internal transcribed spacer 1, and 5.8S ribosomal RNA". The stretch from base 1 to 54 matches the Rfam family "Eukaryotic small subunit ribosomal RNA", at positions 1778 to 1831 of the family's 1831-position model. The record is from RNAcentral.
GGAAGUAAAAAUCGUAACAAGGUCUCCGUAGGUGAACCUGCGGAGGGAUCAUUACAGAGUUCAUGCCCUACCGGGUAGAUCUCCCACCCUAUGUUAUUAUUACUUUGUUGCUUUGGCGGGCCGUUAGGCUCCGGCCCGACUACCGGCCCCGGCUGGUAAGCGCCCGCCAGAGGACCCAAAACCCUGAAUAUUAGUGUCGUCUGAGUACUAUAUAAUAGUUAAAACUUUCAACAACGGAUCUCUUGGUUCUG